GUAAGAAUUGUUUAAUAAAAUAUAUUUUUAAUUAAGUACAUAAUAUUCAAUCAGUAAUAAAUUUUUUCAUUUCAG
RNAcentral lists this unclassified non-coding RNA (75 nucleotides) under Apis mellifera (honey bee). Lineage: Eukaryota; Metazoa; Arthropoda; Insecta; Hymenoptera; Apidae. The record is from RNAcentral.